UACGGAGGGUGCUAGCGUUGUUCGGAAUCACUGGGCGUAAAGGGCGUGUAGGCGGUCUGUUAAGUCUGAUGUGAAAUCCCCUCGCUCAACGAGGGAACUGCGUCGGAUACUGGCAGACUCGAGUACCGGAGAGGAAGGUGGAAUUCCCGGUGUAGCGGUGAGAUGCGUAGAUAUCGGGAGGAACACCGGUGGCGAAGGCGGCCUUCUGGACGGAUACUGACGCUGAGACGCGAAAGCGUGGGGAGCAAACAGG
Molecule: ribosomal RNA, 253 nt
Filed under: uncultured bacterium
Lineage: Bacteria
Description: partial 16S ribosomal RNA
Rfam family: Bacterial small subunit ribosomal RNA
Source: RNAcentral